GACGAACGCUGGCGGCGUGCUUAACACAUGCAAGUCGAACGGAAAGGCCCUGCUUUUGUGGGGUGCUCGAGUGGCGAACGGGUGAGUAACACGUGAGUAACCUGCCCUUGACUUUGGGAUAACUUCAGGAAACUGGGGCUAAUACCGGAUAGGAGCUCCUGCUGCAUGGUGGGGGUUGGAAAGUUUCGGCGGUUGGGGAUGGACUCGCGGCUUAUCAGCUUGUUGGUGGGGUAGUGGCUUACCAAGGCUUUGACGGGUAGCCGGCCUGAGAGGGUGACCGGCCCCAUUGGGACUGGGAUACGGCCCAGACUCCUACGGGAGGCAGCAGUGGGGAAUAUUGCACAAUGGGCGGAAGCCUGAUGCAGCAACGCCGCGUGCGGGAUGACGGCCUUCGGGUUUUAAACCGCUUUCGCCUGUGACGAAGCGUGCGUGACGGUAAUGGGUAAAGAAGCACCGGCUAACUACGUG
Molecule: ribosomal RNA, 468 nt
Filed under: uncultured bacterium
Lineage: Bacteria
Description: partial 16S ribosomal RNA
Rfam family: Bacterial small subunit ribosomal RNA
Source: RNAcentral